CUAACGCUAGUGGCGUGUCUUAGUCAUGCGAGUCGCACGAGAAAGCUCUCUUCGGAGAGUGAGUAGAGUGGCGAACGGGUGAGUAAUACGUGGGUAACCUACCUCCGAGUUGGGGAUAACAUUCCUAACGGGGUGCUAAUACCGAAUAACAAGCCGAGUCUUCGGUCUUGUCUUCAAAGAUGGCCUCUGCUUGCAUGCUGUCGCUUGGAGAUGGGCCCACGUCCUAUUAGCUAGUUGGUGGGGUAAUGGCCUACCAAGGCUUUGAUGGGUAGCCGGCCUGAGAGGGUGAUCGGCCACACUGGAACUGAGACAAGGUCCAGUCCCCUACGGGGGCCAGCAGUCUAGAAACUUGCACAAUCGUCGAAAGACGGAUGCAGCGACGCCACGUGGAGGAUGAAGCCCCUCGGGGUGUAAACUCCUGUCAGGAGGGAAGAACGCGCGAGGAUGAAUAGUUCUCGUUGCUUGACGGUACCUCCAGAGGAAGCUCCGGCUAACUGC
RNAcentral lists this ribosomal RNA (498 nucleotides) under uncultured bacterium. Its description in RNAcentral is "bacterial SSU rRNA". It matches the Rfam family "Bacterial small subunit ribosomal RNA", at positions 32 to 504 of the family's 1533-position model. The record is from RNAcentral.